Molecule: small nucleolar RNA, 142 nt
Organism: Mustela putorius furo (domestic ferret)
Lineage: Eukaryota; Metazoa; Chordata; Mammalia; Carnivora; Mustelidae
Source: Ensembl
GUCCAAGCUGAUUCCCUCUCCAGGGGGCCCGCCCGUGCCCCUCUUCCGGAAAGUAGCAACUUGGAAGAUGAUCUGGCAUGCCUGAGGCUGCUCGGGGACAGGGCACGUCUGUUCCUUUGCCUGCCUUUGGCCGCCUACACUC